Molecule: long non-coding RNA, 1304 nt
Organism: Lathyrus oleraceus (garden pea)
Lineage: Eukaryota; Viridiplantae; Streptophyta; Magnoliopsida; Fabales; Fabaceae
Exons: 2
Source: RefSeq, a predicted model, not a curated record
AACCAAUUGACAUCACUACUUAAACUUUAACCUUUCCAUCCAACACUACCAUUGAACUACAAUUUCAUUUAGUUGACUAACCUCAUUUAAUCACAAUUUUUCCAUAAAACAAAAAUUAACAUCACACUUAGCAGCUCAUUUUCAAUAACACGAAAUAAAACUAACUCGGUUUUAACACUAACCCAAAAAUAAUUGAACCUAACAUACACAUCACAACCAUCGGAUUUCAUCAUUGGACAACUAACAUUUUCCAACUAAUUGAUUUACUAACUAACUUCUCACCGAGUUCAAGUCCAUAACUAACUGAGUUUGCAGUUAACUCAGUGAGUCCAAUCUAACCAACUCUUAACCUCACUCCUUUCCUCCGUUCUAUUCGAGCCUACACCCUAUAUAUUGAACUCUUCACCCUCAUUCGAGCUACCACACACACCAAUCAUUAAUCUCAAGAGUCUCUCAGGAUCUCUCUGUAACUUCUCUCCAUUACCCCUCACUCAGAGCUCAUCUUCAGCAGCCAUUGAAGCUUCAUAUUGAAGCUUCAACGUGCUCAAGCUAGACUUCAACAAAACCUCACUAGACUCAACUCAGUCUCAAGCUCUCUCAGAUUCACACACAAUCACAUAGAAAGAAGGAGAAGGAAGAAGAAAACCAGACGAAGAGAAAGAAGAUUCAGAUCGUACCUGAUUUCUGACCUCGGCUCUGGUUUGUGUGUGAGGAAUCAGGAAGAAUGGACAUGAUAUUUGGGAUCGGGAGAAUAAGGUGAAGGAGUUUUUGUGCUUGGUUUAGAGGUUAGGGCUUCGCCGCCGCCAGAGGCAACCUCCGACACGGCGAAGGAGAAGGUCCGGUAGGAGGGAGUUUUAAAUUAUGUUGAACUUCUGACUUGUACAAGACACAUGGAAAACAUGGAAAUAUGUUGAAGUUGGGCACGUGAUUGUUUUACAUUUGAAGUCACUUAUUUUACCCUGGAGUUGGGCUUUUCCGUUCGUAGACCAUGGCCUUUUUCGUGUUACACCCUGAUUCUUACAAUGCACCCCCAACUCACCACAGUCCUGACCAUUGGGCCAACAACGCUAGGCCCAUCAGAUUGAAUCUUCUUUCUGGUUACUGUACCCCCGUUUGGGCCUACGCCUCAGCGACUCUUGGCACCCCUGGCUGCUAGUUGAACCCCAGGCCCUAUUUUCAUGUUUCUUAAUUUCUUUUCUUUUAUUAGUUUUUUUAUAUGUAUUUUUUUGGUGUCUAGAGAUAAUUUUAUGUAAUAAAAUGUAUGUAUGGAUUUAAUUGACUAAUUAGGUUUUAAUUAGAAUUAA